AGUGAACGCUGGCGGUAGGCCUAACACAUGCAAGUCGAACGGCAGCACAGUAAGAGCUUGCUCUUACGGGUGGCGAGUGGCGGACGGGUGAGGAAUACAUCGGAAUCUUCUUUUUCGUGGGGGAUAACGUAGGGAAACUUACGCUAAUACCGCAUACGACCUACGGGUGAAAGCAGGGGAUCUUCGGACCUUGCGCGAUUGAAUGAGCCGAUGUCGGAUUAGCUAGUUGGCGGGGUAAAGGCCCUCCAAGGCGACGAUCCGUAGCUGGUCUGAGAGGAUGAUCAGCCACACUGGAACUGAGACACGGUCCAGACUCCUACGGGAGGCAGCAGUGGGGAAUAUUGGACAAUGGGCGCAAGCCUGAUCCAGCCAUACCGCGUGGGUGAAGAAGGCCUUCGGGUUGUAAAGCCCUUUUGUUGGGAAAGAAAAGCAGCAGGUUAAUACCCCGCUGUUCUGACGGUACCCAAAGAAUAAGCACCGGCUAACUUCGUG
This 492-nucleotide ribosomal RNA is filed under the name uncultured bacterium. RNAcentral describes it as "partial 16S ribosomal RNA". It matches the Rfam family "Bacterial small subunit ribosomal RNA", at positions 29 to 507 of the family's 1533-position model. The record is from RNAcentral.